Molecule: ribosomal RNA, 465 nt
Filed under: uncultured bacterium
Lineage: Bacteria
Description: partial 16S ribosomal RNA
Rfam family: Bacterial small subunit ribosomal RNA
Source: RNAcentral
CCUACGGGAGGCAGCAGUAGGGAAUCUUCCACAAUGGGCGAAAGCCUGAUGGAGCAACGCCGCGUGGGUGAAGAAGGUCUUCGGAUCGUAAAACUCUGUUGUUAGAGAAGAAAGAGCGUGAGAGUAACCGUUCACGUUUCGACGGUAUCUAACCAGAAAGCCACGGCUAACUCCGUGCCAGCAGCCGCGGUAAUACGUAGGUGGCAAGCGUUAACCGGAUUUAUUGGGCGUAAAGGGAACGUAGGCGGGCUGUUAAGUCUGAUGUGAAAGCCUCGGGCUUAACCGGAGUAGUGCAUUGGAAACUGGCUGACUUGAGUGCAUAAGAGGAGAGUGGAAUUCCAGGUGUAGCGGUGAAAUGCGUAGAUAUAGGGAAGAACACCAGUGGCGAAGGCGGCUCUCUGGUCUGUAACUGACGCUGAGGUUCGAAAGCGUGGGUAGCAAACAGGAUUAGAUACCCUUGUAGUC